Molecule: small nucleolar RNA, 132 nt
Filed under: Tauraco erythrolophus (red-crested turaco)
Lineage: Eukaryota; Metazoa; Chordata; Aves; Musophagiformes; Musophagidae
Description: Small nucleolar RNA SNORA1
Rfam family: Small nucleolar RNA SNORA1
About the family: ACA1 is a member of the H/ACA class of snoRNA that guide the sites of modification of uridines to pseudouridines.
Source: Rfam by way of RNAcentral
CGCCUCGUUAUUCAGCAAAUAGACACAACCCACCAUGUGUCCGAAUUGGAAAACGUGGCUAGAGAACUUACAGGUUGUGCUUUCCUCGCUGCAGAGUUAAUUGCAGUGGUGACAAUGAGACCUGUAACAGGU